Peptococcaceae bacterium BRH_c23 is the source of this 100-nucleotide non-coding RNA. NCBI's taxonomy places the organism in Bacteria, Bacillati, Bacillota, Clostridia, Eubacteriales, Peptococcaceae. The record is from Rfam.
AUUUCCGACAGUAAAAUUCCUGAUGCUCAGAUAGGGUAUGAAUACACUUUAAAUGCCUUGCUAGGAGCCCUGUCAGGAGCCAGUAUUGUUUACGGAGCGG